GACGAACGCUGGCGGCGUGCUUAACACAUGCAGGUCGAACGGUAAGGCCCUUCGGGGUACACGAGUGGCGAACGGGUGAGUAACACGUGGGUGAUCUGCCCUGCACUUCGGGAUAAGCCUGGGAAACUGGGUCUAAUACCGGAUAGGACCACUGCCUGCAUGGGUGGUGGUGGAAAGCUUUUGCGGUGUGGGAGGGGCCCGCGGCCUAUCAGCUUGUUGGUGGGGUGAUGGCCUACCAAGGCGACGACGGGUAGCCGGCCUGAGAGGGUGACCGGCCACACUGGGACUGAGCUACGGCCCAGACUCCUACGGGAGGCAGCAGUGGGGAAUAUUGCACAAUGGGCGCAAGCCUGAUGCAGCGACGCCGCGUGAGGGAUGACGGCCUUCGGGUUGUAAACCUCUUUCAGCACCGACGAAGCGCAAGUGACGGUAGGUGCAGAAGAAGGACCGGCCAACUACGUGCCAGCCGCCGCAGUAA
RNAcentral lists this ribosomal RNA (478 nucleotides) under uncultured bacterium. Its description in RNAcentral is "partial 16S ribosomal RNA". It matches the Rfam family "Bacterial small subunit ribosomal RNA", at positions 28 to 523 of the family's 1533-position model. The record is from RNAcentral.